AGAGAUGUAUCUUAUAGGUAAAGUAUUGAUCUCCAAAAUCAAAUAAGAGGGUUCAAGUCCUUCCGUCUCUG
RNAcentral lists this transfer RNA (71 nucleotides) under Candidatus Vidania fulgoroideorum. RNAcentral describes it as "tRNA-Trp". It matches the Rfam family "tRNA". Rfam says of the family: Transfer RNA (tRNA) molecules are approximately 80 nucleotides in length. Their secondary structure includes four short double-helical elements and three loops (D, anti-codon, and T loops). The record is from RNAcentral. Lineage: Bacteria; Pseudomonadati; Pseudomonadota; Betaproteobacteria.